This 253-nucleotide ribosomal RNA is filed under the name uncultured bacterium. RNAcentral's name for it is "partial 16S ribosomal RNA". It matches the Rfam family "Bacterial small subunit ribosomal RNA", at positions 524 to 776 of the family's 1533-position model. The record is from RNAcentral.
UACGAAGGGGGCUAGCGUUGUUCGGAUUUACUGGGCGUAAAGCGCACGUAGGCGGAUCGUUAAGUCGGGGGUGAAAUCCUGGAGCUCAACUCCAGAACUGCCUUUGAUACUGGAGAGCUAGAGUCCGGAAGAGGUGAGUGGAACUGCGAGUGUAGAGGUGAAAUUCGUAGAUAUUCGCAAGAACACCAGUGGCGAAGGCGGCUCACUGGUCCGGUACUGACGCUGAGGUGCGAAAGCGUGGGGAGCAAACAGG